Small nucleolar RNA from Phodopus roborovskii (desert hamster), 115 nucleotides. RefSeq annotates it as small nucleolar RNA SNORA11. Lineage: Eukaryota; Metazoa; Chordata; Mammalia; Rodentia; Cricetidae. The record is from RefSeq and is a predicted model, not a curated record. The transcript has a single exon.
CGGGUGUGCUCAGAGCAAAGGGCUUAAAGAAUGACUACGGUGUUUACAACACAUCCAACAGAAAUCUGGAGCCACUGUGAUAAGAAGAAAAGCUGUGUGCAAAUAGCCUACAAAG